GUAGCAUCAAGGCAGUUGGUAUCCCAAGUAUCAGCUAACGUUUCUCUUUUAUACAUCCACAAUGCAUGGCCUGCACCAAGUAAGGAACUGAACCAGGGGUGUGUUUUUACCUCUAGAGCUGCCUCCUUCCAUCAGAGCACCUUGUUGAACUUAAUGUCUAGUUCACAUGUCAUUGACAUGUUUUCUCCCCAACAUGUAAUUACAAAGCUGGGAAACAAAAUGUUGCUCACUGUACUGUAAAAACACAAUGUCACGCACCAGUAGAGGGGAAACUGUGUGCUUGCUGAGCUACAUUUGACUCUGACGCUGUAGUGACUUGAUAGAUACUUGGCAGAGAGCAUUAACCUAAAAUGCUGUAAUGAUUGGAAAUAAAACAUGGUUCAGAGAUGUUUCAAUUAGAAAGAAACAAAACCAAACACACAUAAGUCAACAGCAGAAUUCAUCACUGGUAGAGAUUGUGCAUUGAUAGUUUUUGAAAAAAGGCACUGGACAUUUCUUAACCGGAGGUCACGGACUGCUGGCCGUGCUAGUUAGUGCGCACAGCUGUGCAGCUUAGGACAUUAAGUGGUUUGCUGCUUUGAUGGAAAUUAUGGUUCAGUGGGUUGGAUACAAGAGAGAUGAUUGUUCACAGAAUAACCUGUGAACUUUCACCCCUCUGUAUGGAAACUUGUUUCAGGGCCAAAUCCUUGUAGCUGUCUUCUUGCCCCGGUCAGUGCCAGCCGUACUAUUCACAACACUGCUGCUACCGAGGCCUAGGAUCAGUUCUUAAGAGCAGCCCCAGUAACUGGAGGAAUGGGAGCUGUGUUGAUGAGAAAAAUGGGCUGGAGAGAAGGAGAAGGACUAGGAAAGAACAAAGAAGGAAAUAAGGAACCCAUCCUUGUUGACUUUAAGACAGACCGAAAAGGUCUUGUUGCAGUAGGAGAGAGAGCACAAAAGAGGUCUGGGAACUUCUCCGCUGCAAUGAAAGACUUGUCAGGCAAACAUCCUGUGUCUGCCUUGAUGGAAAUCUGUAAUAAGAGAAGGUGGCAACCACCUGAAUUUCUCUUGGUCCAUGACAGUGGCCCUGACCAUCGCAAACACUUCCUCUUUAGGGUAUUGAGAAAUGGAAGCCCUUACCAGCCCAAUUGUAUGUUUUUCUUGAAUAGGUAUUGAUAAAUGGAAGCGCUUACCAGCCCAGCUUUGCCAGCCCUAAUAAGAAGCAUGCUAAAGCCACAGCAGCUACUGUGGUUCUUCAAGCAAUGGGCCUUGUACCAAAGGACCUCAUGGCUAAUGCCACUUGCUUCAGGAGUGCCUCACGUAGAUAGAUUGAGGUUUUAUAUUAAUCAUUUCAGAUAAUUUUACUCUGCAUCACAAUGUAUUUCCUCCUUAAUGUUGUAAAUAUUUCACAAUUUAAGACAUUGUGUAAAAAGCAAUCUGUACAAACAUCUCCAGGCUUUGGUUUUGUACCAUGGAAAUUGUAUUUAACCACACAGGGUUUUGGUAUGUUUAUAUUGUUUACCUUAGUGAUGUAUUUGUUUAAGUGG
This 1523-nucleotide long non-coding RNA is filed under the name Rattus norvegicus (Norway rat). Its description in RNAcentral is "long non-coding RNA NONRATT006454". The record is from RNAcentral. Lineage: Eukaryota; Metazoa; Chordata; Mammalia; Rodentia; Muridae.